AUGGGUUUAAAGUGUAAUGUAAGUCGCUUUGGAUAAAAGCGUCAGCUAAAUGACCUGUAAUGUAACAUGGUAACCUGGCUGAGACACAAUCUCCAACACGAAUUAAGCACUUAAGUCAGAUUUCACCAACAAAGCCAGCUCACAAUUCACCAAUAUCCUCCUAUGUUAUUGCUUACAUUUGUUAAGAAAUGGCAGGGCAAUGUGCACACUUCAUACGCCAUGGCAAUUCAAAGUGCUUUACAUAUGAGCAAUAAUACAAAUAUUUAUUUUUUAAAGGAGAGAAAUAUUAUAACCAAUAAAAACGGUAUAACUACUUAUUUUGCGCAAACAUGUCAGCUCUCAAUUGUGUGUAAGUGUAAAUUCUGUUGUUACCUAAGAACAAAUCUUCUUAAGAACAUUUGGUGAGGCCCGAUGUUCCCUUUGCUCAUUGUCAUCGAUUGUUCUUUGCUUGAUGCAGGCGUCUCGUCAGGUGUGGGACACGGUUUGUAGAUGACAGCAGAAGUCCGUCAGUGAGACUGUAGUGGACGUGUCCUUCACCUGACAGAACAAACGCUCUCACUGUUGUUUAAAACAACAAACAAGAUCUGAGAUGAGACAUGAGAUGUCUUGUGUUUGAGUUUAAUUUUGGAGGUUGUUUCUGUUAUUAUUUUGAAAUGAGUUUGUAACCUGCCUGAAUUGAGAAAUAUUGUUCGACAUUCGUAGAAGAGAGAUCUUGUAACGCAUUGUAACAUUUUUGCUCAUUUGAUGAGUAUAUGUUCAAUAUUCAUGCUAAUUUUAGAUCUACUUUAGUUGCACCAGCUCCUGGGUAUCACAUCGGACUCUUUAGCUGCUAAAUGCUUCACUUUGUUCACCAGUUAGUUGCUAAAUCCUAAUACCCCCCCGAUGUUAAUAAAUAUAACAACAAUAAUAUGAUGCACGGUGUUCAGCUCUACAUGGACACAUAGUUACGUAUUUCUCUGCAUUUCAACGUUACUCUCACCGUUGAACAGUGUGUGUCGGUGACUCUUACUUUUCCUCUUCCACGCUCUCUGCUUUCUACAGAGCUUUAUUUGUGUUGAGAGCACAGAGGGGAUGGGCUGAUCCAGUUCAGUGAUGGAGUCUCUGUGUGUGUGAUUGCGCAUUUGUGUGUGAUGGAUGAAUGGCUCUGUGACAAAACAUCAAGUGUGAAAACAGAAAUAACUCCAAAAAGUGGAUGAAGUUUUAAAAGACGGAGGAGUGGAGUCAGAAUGAAAGAAGGCAAGAGAAACAAAGACACCGUAUGGGUGUCAGAAGAAGCAGCUCUCAAUUUUCUCUGCUGUUACCUACUUUCUCAUUCGACUCCCCUGCCUGCGGAUGAUGCAACAUCAAUUUAACGCUUUGCUUUCUCAGCUCAGUUUCAGCAGGAAACCCUGGCUUUAGUCAACUCUCAGCUGAAUUCAACUCAAUUCAUUAAGUAUGCACGUGUGUGUGUGUGUGUGUGUGUGUGUGUGUGUGUGUAUUCCCUGUGAGAUUGAAGUCCCUUUAUUGCCCUAUUUUCCUCUGACAUUUGAUGCCUGUAAUAUAGCCUUUGUGGACCUGGAAUUAAAUUUGCGAGCGCAGCAUAUAAACAGCUCCCCUGUGUAUUCUACAUUUCUAUCCUCACCAUUCCCUGACCAAAUUAUGAAACCAUAAGUAUCAGCGACUCAUGAAAGCAUCUUAACAGAUUCAAAACACAGGCCUUAAUACUGUUUUUCAAAUAAAGACAUCACCCGAUUACAAAGGAUCCAUCAACCUAAACCCAUUUUUAAAAAUUCACCGCAGUCAUCUUGAAAUACUUUUUCUAGCCGGUUACAAAAUAGUAUUAGGACACGGGAUGUAUGAGAGGAACUGCUUGGUCAGAGGAAUGCAUUUACAACGCCUGUAUCUUCAUAUCUUUUAUUUCCCCCAUGAUCCAAUUUUCUCAACCACGUAGUACUCCGUGGGAUCAUACAUUGAGACAAAAGAGAAAUGGUUUGCUGACUGGGAAGUGUUACGAGUAACACAGGUUUAUUUGAGUGGCUCUCUAGAUGUGAAUGUGUUUGCAAAAGGAAGAUGAAGCCAAGGGGGGAAUGGAGGGAAGAGCUUUGAGUGAAAAGGUCAAUCUGUGUGACUGUGGAGCAUCAGAGGGUCACGGAUGGUUGAGUCUCACUGAAAAAAGAUUUUUUUUUUGUACCAAAAACUGUGAAAAAGGUUUCUUUGCUUUGCUCUCCGUUUUAUUUAGUUUACAGAAUGUUGUUUUUCUUUUUGAUCCCCUUCUGUGUUGAGAAGUCAAGUCCUUUCAAUUCAAUUUUCUUGUAUAGCCACAAAUGACAAAUUUGCUAUGCAAUACUCAGGUCAUAUGUUGGCAAAAUAAGUUAGCAAGUAAGUGCAAAAGUAGGACCCAAUCGCAGAUUAUACAAACAAACAAUAACAAUACACAACCCACCAGCGCCGACAAAAGAAACACGGUUUAAAUACACUGGGAAGGUGCAGGUGGUUGAACACAGGAGGAGACAAUCGGGGACAUGGCAGCCAAUCCCCCACGGGGCAAACACCAGGGCAGGAAGGGAAGUUAACCGAGAGACACCAGAGGCAGGAAACUACACAAUACAACAGAUUUCAAGCAAAGGGCGGGUGUGUUCCUCAGAAAAGCUUAUCUGUUUUACGCCUGCUUUCAUUAUGCCAUUGAACAGGAAGAGACAUCUUUGACUGUCUAAGUAUGUUCCAUGAUUUUUUUAAAAUAUAUUAUAUAUUAUCUCUCUAUCUCUCUUUUACACACACACACGCACACACAUAUACUGUAUAUAAUAUAUACUGUAUUUGUCUUGAAUCCCACAAAAAAACAUUUGUCCUGUUAAUCCUUCCCAAUACACAUUACGAUAUCUUUGUAUCUGAAAGGACAUCCUUACAAGCCUGCGUUUGUGUCUGUGUGCACAAGCGCACACGUCAUCAGGAUUGUACGCGUGUGUUUUCCACGUAUUAUUCAUAAUCAACCGGCCUCGGGACAUACAGUGCAGAAUCCGAUUUAAAUAAGCUGACAGAGGUCAGGUAGGGAGAUCCUCGCUUUGGUUGGUUAGUGUUUUUCGGAGUGGCUCCUUCAACACACAUCCAAUUAGCGUUCUGACAGGUGUCGACUGUUUCUUCAUUUCUUGAGUGUGUGUGAUGACAGGGAUUCAGAGUGUCAAGUAUAAGCCGCCUAAAGCCAAUUGAAAUAAAUAAAGGAAGUAGAGGAGUAUUUGGCUUUCCAAACAUCACCUGUGUGAUCAUCAAGCAGACUGUUUUUUGGUUUAGAAUUUGUUAAUUCAUUUAGAAGACAAACCUCUGGUAUAACAAUGAAGACUUAAGGACCUUCACCUUAAUUUUCAUCAUUAUUCAUAAUUUCCUUCGGUGAUCCUUCGGUGAAUUGUUUAAUCAGAGCAAAGUCUAAAUUACCUCAAUAAAUUAGUCGGGGUGGAAAUUUUGUGAACUAAUUUGACGUGGCUGUAUUAUGUGACCUGAACUUUUGGAUUAUUUAGCCUUGAAAAGAUGUAAAUGAGGUCCCCCGCUGUCGGAUUUCAGGAAAAAGCUGCUUUUAAUCGGCUUUUGGAGAGUAUUUGAGCAUUCAAGUCAUUGCACAGGGAUUUGUCCCUUGGACACAGAUGCAGCUUAGAGUGUGUGUUUGUGGUCUAUAGCAGAGGCCCCCAACCUUUUCUUCCUCAGGGACGGGUGUUGGAGGUGUGGCGGAUAAACACAAUGAAAUAACUGGCUGCCCGGCGGAAUCAAUUCUCAAAAUAAAACACAACUAAAAAUGUUUUUUUUUAAAUCUUGGGAAAAAUCUUUCUGUGGUGUGGCCCGGUACCAAAUAGCCCACGGACCGCUACCAGUCAGCGGUGGUUGGCUAGAAAUUGCAACUGCUCGUAGAUGACAUAUUACAGAUGUAGAAGCUGUAAGUUAAGCUAAUUAGGUGAAACAGACAGGAGAUGAGCGAUGGAGGAAACAAAGGGUUAAUUCAUCUUCAUUUCAUAAGACGGGCAGGAGGAGGAGGUCCUUGGCCGUGCAGUGCUCUUGACUCUUUGUCCCCGGAGGUUUGAGUCAUCGUACUGAUCGGUGGAAUGCUGGGACAUCCAAUGUGACUGAAAAGGCCAUCGGCUCUAUUCCCUCCAGACAUUAAGCCUUAUUGUUCAAAUAACGAUUGCUAAAGGGGGAGCUGAGAGCGCUCAACAGGAGAACUGUAUAUUUCAAGUGAUGUAUUGUAUGUUAUGCUUUCAUACAGCAUGUUAGCAAUCUAAGAAAAAUAACCAAAAAGCCAGGCUAGCAGCUCUAUGAGGCAGUCCUCUUUUUCUAGCUGAAUGCUAACAUGCGAACAAACAUCAUUAUGUCAGUUGAUUUUUGGAAAGACUCCUAAUAAGUCUAUGCAAUUCCCCACAGGUACACUUUGGGAUUUCUGACUAGCAGUGUUAUAAGAUAGUAGUUUUACUCGAGGUUGAGGGUCAACAUUUUGUUUUUUUGCAAACAUGUAAACAAGGAUUCACACACAGACAAGUGCACAAAAAAAGAAGAAAUAAGCAGCUGAAAUAUGCUACUGUUUGCUGGGAAUUAAGUUCUUGCUGGAUCAUGACCAAAUGCUGUACGACGUCCAAGCAAAGGGGAUUGCAUAAAAUUCAUAAAUACACAAAAAACUUCAAUUCAGUACCAUAUGGGGCAAGACUUAUUGCCAAUAGAGUUGCAUGUUUCAAAACCACCAUCUGGCAGCUCAGUGCAGUCGUGUUCGGCUGAGUUGUUGUGGAAAUGUGAAAGCUGUCAACUUAAUUUGGUGGCUCAAAGUCUCUAAUGGCUCAAGUUAAAAUGAAAACCUGCGAAAGAAAAGCAGACAAAACAGUAGCAGGGGUAUUUGGAACGUUAAUGAACAUCUGUGUCAUCUUUAAAAGAAGCACUCAGUUUGCCUGCUUUGUAACAUCACACAGGCAAACACUUUGUUUGUUAUCAUCAGGGUAACAGAGUUUAAAUCUGUGUGCAUGUCUCAGGCAGCAGGCCGGGUGGGUGCACGUUAUAAUGGUAUUGGGCUGUGAUCACAGAGGUGUGAGGAGGAAACGCACGUUGCACCAACUUCACAGUAAAUAUCUAAUAAUUCUCAAUCCAUUUUUUUGUCUUUAUCAAAUAAUAAUUUUCUUUUAAAGAUUUUGGGGGAAUGGGACUUCAUGUUGUGUGCUUUGGACUCAAUAUUUGCCAGUCCUGUAAUAAUAUUAUAAAGCAGACAACUCCGACUUUAAUUAAUCAACCUCAUUUAUUUAUUCCUCCCCAAACCAUUCACACCCUGUCAAUCUGUGUGCCUUAAAGCCUGAUUAUGGUUACGCAGCAUGGCGCGUAAAGCUGCAGAGUUUCUAUGCUUUUCUGUAGCAGCUAGUUACAUAAGCCACAAACAGGACACAAUAAUGACAACGGCCCCACAGACUUUGUCUUUUCUUGACAUUUAUAGCUGCUGAGUUUGUAUUUCACGCUCUUGAAGAUAAUCUUUAGGAUGCUAUCGCACUGACUCACAGUGCCAUUUUUGUAACAUUUAGAUGAGGUGAACAAUCUGUACUCAGCGUGCUCCAUCAUGGCACUUGGGUUUUCCUGAAAUAUUUCAGGUUCAAUGGACUGAGGAGAUGAGGACCAGAUGGACGGGCCCAUGGCUCCAUCAGUAACGGGCACAGAGCUCCACUUCGACUCAGACGCCAGCCAGGUGGAGGUGGGGUUCUGGAAUUAUUAAAGAUAAGCUAGUUGGACCUUUUCGGGUUGAACGUGGACUAAAAAAAAAAUCAACUCCCAGACCUACUGCCAGUUAUUAGAAGACACUUUUUUACACUUUACUCUUUAAGCAGUGGUACGGGGGAAAGGUCUGUAUUAAGGUCUGUAGGGCCAUGAUUUUAAGACAAUGCUCCAUCCCAUGCAUCUAAAGACUGCACUGCGUGGCUAGACAGUAAAGGCCUUAAAGGUGAAAAAAUAAUGACAUAUUCCUUCCUCACCUGACCUAAACCCUCUGGAGAACGUGUGGAGCCUUCUUAAACAGGAGGUAUACAGAGAAGGAAAUCGGUACACCAGCGUCACGGAGGCUGUGGUUGCUGCUGCACAAAACGUUGAUCGUCAACAGAUGAAGAAACUGACUCCAUGAAUUGCAGGAUUAUUACGUUAUUAUCUAUAUCGGGCACGGAUUUUCUGGAAUGUCAGGAAUGUUUAUUUGUACUUUUUGAGUUGUUUAUUAUUCUCACUAUAACAGAUGGAAAUAAACAAGUGAGAUGGGAAAUCUUUUUUCUUUUUAAUUUAGUUAGCCAAAACCUCACUUUUACAUUCUUAACAUUCAGGUUUGGGGUGUAUUGUUAUUUUGGAUUGACCGAGAGCACUGUAGUUCUUCAAUAAUAAAAAUAAUGCCUAAUAAUUUUGCACACAGUGUUGAUGAUGCAUGCACACAUGAAUAAUUUGCCAUUCACCACACGUUGGUAGUUUGAUUGACUAGGUCAAUACGAGGUUAGGGUUACGCCCUUUUUCAGAACUCAUGAACAAUUCAGUGUAGAAAUUCUCGGGAGGCACCAUUUCAUCUGGAAGUUUGUGAGGGCUGUUACCCAUUAAUAAUUUGCACAGUUGAAUGCGACUGGUUAAGGCUUGCCUGUCAUCGUUUAAGCCUUACGUAGAAAAAUACGAACUACUGCACAGAAUCCAUGUAGUUGUGUAGCUUUUUGUUUGAUUAUGUGUGUUUAUUUCAGUUAAUUAACUGGAUCCGCAUUAGCUGAAGCCUUAGAAAACGCCAGACACACUAAGGACAAAAUGUAAUACAUACAAAAUUUGUGUGCGUUUAUAGAAUGUCCCAGAAUCUAAAGCACAGAAACAGAGUGCAGAUCGAUAGUCUGACAGAAUGAAAGACGCUGGGUAAGUGUUUUUGUGGUUGUAAAUAUAUCUUUUGGCCUUAAUUACAUUCCCCACAUAACAUCAAUACACCGAUAGAAUGUUAAAAUGGCCGUGAAGCAACAGUCAAAGAGAAGGAUGCAAGCUGCAAACAAUUGUUUGUAAGGUUGUGUGCGUGAAUGCAUGUACGCAACCUAAUCACAGUCAUUACAAAUGGAUGCUUGUUCUUGAAUUAAUUGGGGUGAAGGGUGCGUUCCUUUUGUAUUGUGCUCCUGCAGACUUGUCCAAUAUUCAAAUAUACUUGACCUUCAUCCCUUUAGAAGAAACAAAAAAAAGUUUCGCUCCAAUCAAGCUUUAUAACCCAGCCCGUCUGCUGAACUUCAUCUGAAUAAUUUACAGUUUCCUGUAUAUUCCAGGUGUCACACAAGGCACAGGAAGGUGGAUUUUUAAGCAGAUCUAUUCAAAGUUUUAUGGCUUUUUUACGGAGCCGUGACUGUAUUCCCCAUUGGCCAUUAUUGUGAAAAAUGUACCCUGUUAGCUACCAAACUCCUUUUGAAACUUUGAAAUGAAUUAAACUUUUAAGAUUUCACUUUAAAAGACAAACCAGACGCAGGGAGACGGAGGGGAAAAAAGGCACUAGCCUCACGGCCA
This is a long non-coding RNA of Gasterosteus aculeatus aculeatus (three-spined stickleback), 7485 nucleotides long. The record is from Ensembl. Lineage: Eukaryota; Metazoa; Chordata; Actinopteri; Perciformes; Gasterosteidae.